This is an RNA transcript of Aethalodelphis obliquidens (Pacific white-sided dolphin), 2335 nucleotides long. It is a transcript of the gene named adaptor related protein complex 1 subunit mu 1, with no coding region annotated. Lineage: Eukaryota; Metazoa; Chordata; Mammalia; Artiodactyla; Delphinidae. The record is from RefSeq and is a predicted model, not a curated record. The transcript has 13 exons.
GGAAGUGGAAACGAACUGUCGCGGGGCGCACCCGGCCUGGCUCACCGCCUGGCAGUCCCCGCUGUCGCCGCCGCCCUCGGCCAGUGCCGAGGCUUUCCGCAGCCACCAUGUCCGCCAGUGCCGUCUACGUGCUGGACCUGAAGGGCAAGGUGCUCAUCUGCCGGAACUACCGCGGUGAUGUGGACAUGUCGGAGGUGGAGCACUUCAUGCCCAUCCUGAUGGAGAAAGAGGAGGAGGGGAUGCUGUCACCUAUCCUGGCCCAUGGGGGAGUCCGCUUCAUGUGGAUCAAGCACAACAACCUGUAUCUGGUCGCCACCUCUAAGAAGAACGCGUGCGUGUCACUGGUGUUCUCCUUCCUCUACAAGGUGGUGCAGGUAUUUUCGGAAUAUUUCAAGGAGCUGGAAGAGGAGAGUAUCCGCGACAACUUCGUCAUCAUCUACGAGCUGCUGGAUGAGCUCAUGGACUUCGGCUACCCCCAGACCACAGACAGCAAGAUCCUGCAGGAGUACAUAACUCAGGAAGGCCACAAGUUGGAAACAGGGGCCCCACGGCCCCCAGCCACCGUCACCAACGCAGUGUCCUGGCGCUCUGAGGGCAUCAAGUACCGGAAGAACGAGGUGUUCUUGGACGUCAUUGAGUCCGUCAAUCUCCUGGUCAGUGCCAACGGUAACGUCCUACGCAGUGAGAUUGUGGGCUCCAUCAAGAUGCGGGUCUUCCUGUCGGGCAUGCCUGAGCUGCGCCUGGGCCUCAACGACAAGGUUCUCUUCGACAACACGGGCCGUGGCAAAAGCAAGUCCGUGGAGCUGGAGGACGUGAAGUUCCACCAGUGUGUGCGGCUCUCUCGCUUUGAGAACGACCGCACCAUCUCCUUCAUCCCACCCGAUGGCGAGUUUGAGCUCAUGUCCUACCGCCUCAACACCCAUGUCAAGCCCUUGAUCUGGAUCGAGUCUGUGAUUGAAAAGCAUUCCCACAGCCGCAUCGAGUACAUGAUCAAGGCCAAGAGCCAGUUCAAGCGGCGGUCAACAGCCAACAACGUGGAGAUCCACAUCCCUGUGCCCAACGAUGCCGACUCACCCAAGUUCAAGACGACAGUGGGGAGCGUCAAGUGGGUCCCCGAGAACAGUGAGAUCGUGUGGUCCAUCAAGUCCUUCCCGAGCUCAUCAUCCCUCCUGGGGAACAGACUGCCUUGGGGCCAGAGCCUCACGGGAAUCCAGCACCAGCUCCAGGAAGGGCGGCAAGGAGUACCUGAUGCGGGCCCACUUCGGCCUGCCCAGCGUGGAGGCGGAGGACAAGGAGGGCAAGCCCCCGAUCAGUGUCAAGUUUGAGAUCCCCUACUUCACUACCUCCGGCAUCCAGGUGCGCUACCUGAAGAUCAUCGAGAAGAGCGGCUACCAGGCCCUACCGUGGGUUCGUUACAUCACUCAGAACGGAGAUUACCAGCUCCGGACCCAGUGAGGGGCCACGGUGGCCAACGCUCCCGGCCCAGCACUGGGCCUCCUGGUGGAAGCACCAGGAGGAAGCACCUGCCAAGCCUGCCGGAAGGAAGGGCUCCCCUGGACACCAGCCACCCUCCCGGCUCCACCCAGGGGCCCCUCCUCCUCCAGGCGCACCUGCUGUGCCGUCGCCACUCUCAUCCCCCAAGUCCCUUUUCCCAGAAGAGGCUUAUCUUCAAGAAGUCUCGUCUCUUUGCCCCCGAGUCAGUUUGAAGGGAAGGAAAGAAAUCUUUCCCUCCAGAGAUCAAAUACAGCCUUCUGUGCUGUUUAGCUCCUAGUCACGAAAAGAUUGGGAAACGCUCGCCAGACCACUGUCUGGCCGGGCUGGCAGGGCCACCGUUUUGUUGCCAUUCUAUUGAACGUUGUAGGUUUAUUGAGUGUUCCUGGAUUUUUGUCUUGGUCCGUUGCUGUUUACGUGAACUUCACUGUCCACGCCUCCUGCCCCUCAUCCUGAAGCGCUCAGGCAGCACUUAGCGAGGACAGGACCUCCCCGUUCCUCGCCCUCCUCCCCAGCGAGGCUGACGCUGGGUCGCCUUCCCACAUCGGGCCAGAACCUGGCACUUUGAUCGGAGGCUGCAGCUGAUGGCUGUUCCUUGGAGGCUCCUUGGCCUGGACGCAUAGGCUUCAACAGAGGCGCCUUCUGAGGGCCAGCCUGUGCCACACGAUGCUGUCACUCAGCCACAUCAGUGUUUGUCCCCCCAGGGGAGGUGGGGUCCAGGAAGGGCCCCUGGCCUCAGAGGGUGGGGCGCACGGGUCAUCCACAUCCGUGCUUGGACACCACCCCCUUCAACCCUGUCUGUGUUUGUGUCAUGAGUACAUUAAAUUCCAUCAGUUACACAUGC